UGUUCUUCACGGGAUUCUUUGAAAUUUGUCAUUUUUUGAUCAUUUUUCUUGUUUUUUUUGGCAUGUGAUCUAAUUUGCAGGCUGUAAACAGCUUUAUUCAGCUUUUUCAAGGAUUAAAUGGUUGAAAAUUUUGGUGUUUUUGGAUCACGAAACUUGCUUUUUUAGGGUUUCCGCCUUUUUUGAAAGUUUCAUGCCAAAUAGGGCAUGAAUCUUUCAAAAUUUGUAGGCAUUUUGAUCGUAAAGCUAUGAAUCAAAACCUUU
RNAcentral lists this long non-coding RNA (261 nucleotides) under Amborella trichopoda. RNAcentral's name for it is "long non-coding RNA (ATRI_LNC005033)". Lineage: Eukaryota; Viridiplantae; Streptophyta; Magnoliopsida; Amborellales; Amborellaceae. The record is from RNAcentral.